Molecule: ribosomal RNA, 214 nt
Filed under: uncultured bacterium
Lineage: Bacteria
Description: partial 16S ribosomal RNA
Rfam family: Bacterial small subunit ribosomal RNA
Source: RNAcentral
CCCAGUUCGGAUUGUAGUCUGCAACCCGACUACAUGAAGCUGGAAUCGCUAGUAAUCGCGAAUCAGCAUGUCGCGGUGAAUACGUUCCCGGGUCUUGUACACACCGCCCGUCACACCAUGGGAGUUGGAAAUGCCCGAAGUCAGUGACCCAACCGAAAGGAGGGAGCUGCCGAAGGCAGGUUCGAUAACUGGGGUGAAGUCGUAACAAGGUAUC